UAAAUGUUCACAUAAGGAAAAAGGAAAAAAGUUCCCAUGUUAACAGAGGUUGAAAAAAAGCAACUGAUAAUAUGGCAGAGAACCGAGAGGAGCCACGAGGCCAGCUAGCUAGAUAGCUAAUUAUCUGGCAAAUUGAGGUAAGGGUUCUAAAAGUAUUUUAAAUGUUUAGGUUUCCUCACUCGACUUGGGUUUUGUUAUAUUUUAGAAUUUUAGCCGGAGAAAAAAAUAACUUGUUAAUUAAUGUCAUUAAUGUUUAACGUGUUAAAACAACGCAAAUAAUGCAGCAUCUAAUUUUCCCCACUUCCUGUGGUGCUGGCAAAUUAUGGCCAUGAAAUGCAAUUUGUGUCAUAUUUUAAUACAGUUGUGCAUUAUUAUCGAAUAUUCGCUGACAGUUUAAGUGCAAGUGAACAGAACUAAAAAACAUUCGAUAUCUUGUUUAAAAUUAAAUUUGCACCCUGCAUGCACGCAGCUUAAUAUUUUGUGAGGAAUUUCCGUGAAGUGCAUGUUACACUCUAAAUUAAGACAGUACAGAGAACAUAUCAGCCAACCCAGCAAGAAACAGCUGUGAAGAAGUGCUUUGAACGUUUAUUUCCUUGCCAGGUAUGAUAUUAACUGUUCAUGUUCACUUAUCAUGUUAUGAACAUGUGUUUGAAGCAGGGCUGGACAGUGUGAGUAUUUCUCUCACAUUUCCAACUAAAAAUAGAUGUGUGCAAACUGUGCAAUGUUUUUAGGAGCAUGUGAGCAAAUAAAAAGUAUCACAAAAGUAGCCCCUAUUUUUUUCAACAGAAAGGUUGAUAACAAUGACUUGGUCACAGCACUGAACCAAUGCUGUUCAUUGAAGGAAAAAAAACAAAAACACAUCACUGAUCCACUCAUCAGGGCAACGGGUGUUCUAGACACCACUACCAAAAAAAUGCCACUACAAUGCAUUAUAAAUGGGCUUUAAUGAAAAUGUUACAAUGAAUUCUCUUACUACUGCAUAAUAAUGCAGUAAAAUAAUGGUAACACUUGACAAUAAGGUUCAAUUUGUUGCAUUAGUUAACUAAACCUAGUACACUACAUAAGUUAACAUGAACGAACAAUACAAAUACAUUAACUAAGAUUAAUAAAUGCUGUUAAUAUAAACAUAAACUAGCAAAAUUUUAAAAUCACAUGUUAUAUUUAACAUUAGUUAAUGCACUGAAUGCAUUUGCUAGGUUAGACCUAAGCGAAACCAAAAGCCAAUCUAAUCUAACCUUAUCCUGACUGAAAUCUCAAAACCUGCCUGCCAAACUCACAUGUCAAUAACAUUUUACAUCAGUAAUAAAAUAUGACAGGAAUGGUAUAAUUAUCGUUUCAUACAUUCAUAUAGCUGAAAUAUAGUAUAUUUCCGUUCGUUUCAGCCAACGUGCAUGUGUAGUGCUGAUUGCAAGUCUCACGACACCAACCACUUUACAGGUGUUUUUAUGGAGUAUCUAAGAGCAGCUGCAAUGACCUUGUAAAGCCCAAGCAAUGACUUUGCCAACUGACACUCUUCUUUGGAAUGUGUGACUUUCUUUAACAUUGCCUAAUGUUAGAAUUAGAAUUUUUCUUCCCUAGCAUUUUUCAUCAUGUUGGUGAAAGUUCAAGAAACUUCUACAAAAAUUGAUAAAUGAUUUUACAUUCCAAGACUUUCUCACUGAAGGUAAGCUUGUGCUACUGCUUAAAAAUGUGCUGUAGAUGGUCAUGUAUCAACUAUGCUUGAGACAUAAGCUGACAUCAGAAGUCUACAUGACUUGUCUCCAAGUUUCAAAGCUGUGCUGUUUGUACUUGAGAAGUUAUUAAAGGGAUCAUGACAUGAUUUUUUAAA
Ictalurus punctatus (channel catfish) is the source of this 1828-nucleotide long non-coding RNA. The record is from Ensembl. NCBI's taxonomy places the organism in Eukaryota, Metazoa, Chordata, Actinopteri, Siluriformes, Ictaluridae.